CCUUGCGCUACUAGAGCGGCUGAUGGCAGAUUAGGUAGUUGGUGGGAUAAAAGCUUACCAAGCCGACGAUCUGUAGCUGGUCUGAGAGGACGACCAGCCACACUGGGACUGAGACACGGCCCAGACUCCUACGGGAGGCAGCAGUGGGGAAUUUUGGACAAUGGGCGCAAGCCUGAUCCAGCAAUGCCGCGUGCAGGAUGAAGGCCUUCGGGUUGUAAACUGCUUUUGUACGGAACGAAAAGCCUUCUUCUAAUACAGGAGGGUCAUGACGGUACCGUAAGAAUAAGCACCGGCUAACUACGUGC
This 305-nucleotide ribosomal RNA is filed under the name uncultured Devosia sp. Its description in RNAcentral is "bacterial SSU rRNA". It matches the Rfam family "Bacterial small subunit ribosomal RNA", at positions 211 to 508 of the family's 1533-position model. The record is from RNAcentral. Lineage: Bacteria; Pseudomonadati; Pseudomonadota; Alphaproteobacteria; Hyphomicrobiales; Devosiaceae.